RNAcentral lists this long non-coding RNA (953 nucleotides) under Coffea arabica (coffee). RNAcentral's name for it is "long non-coding RNA (CARA_LNC008360)". The record is from RNAcentral. Lineage: Eukaryota; Viridiplantae; Streptophyta; Magnoliopsida; Gentianales; Rubiaceae.
UUUUCUUUAAUUACUUUUACUUAUGUCAUUUACUUUUUGUUUUCAUUAAGUUAUUCUUUUAAUGGGGUAUGUGUACACCUCUUGGCUUGUAAUAGAUAGGGCGUAGCAAGUAAUUUGGUCCAUUUUCCCUUUCCCUUUUGUGUUAGUUAGCAAAUGUAAUGGUUGCAUGCCUAUGUGUUAUAUGUUAAAUGCUUUAUUAGGAUUUCGCAUCUAGUCAAGCAUGCUAAGUGUUAUGUGCUACGUGUUUAUAAGUGAUUCGCAUGUCUACUCGCUUUUUGUAGUAUAGAUGAAUGGAAUGGAUGAAUGUACGUCACCACACUAGUCCAACGCUAGUUGUGGCUUCUUUUAUCGUUUCCACUAGUCCAACGCUAGUCGGAAUUCAUAGGAUGGGCUAGUCCAAUGCUAGACCCAAUAGGUUUUUUCCUUUUUUUCAUUUAAGUGCAUGAUCACCACAUAUCAUGCAUUUUUCAUUAGUUUUAUCAUUUGGUAUGUUCCUCAAACCCCUUCCCCUUCACUUUAGGACUUGCAUCUCAUGCUAGUUAGGGUUCAUCUGCGUGAAAAUCCCCUCUUGAUAAGGGAAACGAGCGAGUGUGGCUACUCGAUAGCCUUAGCACGCUAGUUUUACCUUCUAAUCCGAGGGAAAAUCAAAGUCGAAAAUUAGGCGUCACCCCCGUACCUGACUUGUUGCAUUCCCCUAGGGUCAUACUUUCAUUUUUAUCACUUCCAUACUCUUUUAAUCACAUUUCUCUUACACUUCUCAAUCCAUAUUUUUCACUACAUCUUUAUCAUUUAUUUACUUUACUUCACAAAUGAAAUUCAAGUUCCACUUAUAUAUGUACUAUUCUAUCUUCAUUCAUUUGCACACACAAACACUUUGAUUUUCAUCCAAAUUCACACAUGCACCUUUUUAUACAUUCGCACACUUGCACUUACAUUUCUUGCAUCUUUCAUAC